This is a long non-coding RNA of Melopsittacus undulatus (budgerigar), 1246 nucleotides long. RefSeq lists it as uncharacterized. NCBI's taxonomy places the organism in Eukaryota, Metazoa, Chordata, Aves, Psittaciformes, Psittaculidae. The transcript has 3 exons. The record is from RefSeq and is a predicted model, not a curated record.
AACAGGGCAUCCGGGUGGUGCUGAGCACCGCGUCGGUGCUUGUGGAAGCAGCGGCCGCGGGGGGCAUGGCGGGGCCCGGGAGAGAUUCUGCCGCGGGUGCGGAAUGAACCGGGCGCCCCGAGGAGCUCAGUCGGGUCCCCUCGGGAAGGUCCGCAGUGGCGGGAGCGAGCGUGGCGGUCGCUGCUGGUGGUAGGGACCGCGGAGCAGCGAGUCCAGUCUCCUGUCAGGCCUGGCCGCCUCUCAGGGGACCCUGGCAGCUCCCGCAGGAGGACGGGGAAGAUCCCGCCGCUGCCAGAGCCGGUGCUGCGGAAGAAACGAAGCAGAGAAGCUGGUGUAUCUCUACUGUUGCAGACCCGAGACGGUGCAGAACCUAGAGGGUUAAAGCAACAGGAUGAAGUCAGCAUAAAACAGCCUACAAGGACUGGCAAAUAAAUAAAUCAUCCUAACUACGUUAUUAUCACGGCUUGCCUGAGCUUCAUUGUCUCUUUCGUUCUUACCUGAAUGCCUGUUACAUUUUUCUCCUUGUUCAAGAGAGGCAAUCAAAAGAGACUGUGAGCAGUAAAUGGCUCCUGCCCAUUCUGGAUGUUGCUAAAAAUACUACCUUACCACUCUACAUCUAGAGGUCAAUUGAAAAAUCAAAAUACUGAGGUCAGCAACCCUGCAGACUGUUCUGUUGAGGAGAUUUCUUGCAUUUCUUCCCAGAAGGAGAAUAUAAAACUAUCUGAAUGCAUAUGAAAGAAAUUCUCUUACAUUCUGCCUGCAGCUCAGCACCCUCCUCUACACCGAUGGCUGUAGCUCAGCGAGGCUUCCCCAGGCACUUGGAAAUUGCAUUUCUGGAUACAGCUUUGUAAGACUGGCAGAUGUGUUCUGCACAGUUCUGUCAUAUCUCCCAGCUCUCAGGCAGACAAAAUUAGCUUUGGUACAGCUAAGAAGGAGAUGAUGUGUUCAACGUCUUGCAGUUUGAGUACGUGUCUGUACCUGCUUCCUUUUCUCUUAGGGAAGGUGCCACCACAGGACAGCAACAUUACAGUCCCAGACCAAAUGAAAUAGUGGAAAGAUAUCUCGUGAACAAAGGUGCAACAUCUACAUGCAAAGAAAAAAAAAUAACAAAGCAUAAAAUCCUGGAAUUGUUGGGAAAACUGGCUAAUUAAAGGACUUAUAUCAGGCAUGAGAAAAGAGAAAAAAAAAAAAGAGCAGAGUUGGAGAACCGUACUUUACACUGCUAGAAAAAGCAGGAAGAAACAUA